Molecule: long non-coding RNA, 532 nt
Organism: Clarias gariepinus (North African catfish)
Lineage: Eukaryota; Metazoa; Chordata; Actinopteri; Siluriformes; Clariidae
Exons: 3
Source: RefSeq, a predicted model, not a curated record
CGGAACUCUUACUCUGCGACUGCGGAGAAUUGAAAGUGAAAGGAGUUCAUGGUGAAAUACAGUCUGUUUUUAGAGCAGCAGAUAAGAAAUAACUACUUUUACGAGAAGCAGCGAAGGAGUGUAUAAAGACAGCCUCUUCAAACAACAGCAACACGAUGUCAGUCUUUCAGCUGCUCCCAUCAAGGGGUCACCACAGUGGACCAUCAAGUUGUUGGCACAGAUGUUUACACUGGAUUCCCGUCCUGAUACAAGCUCCCAUUUUCUCCAGGCUUGAGACCAGUACUUCAUCCAGUGGCUAAGAAUUUAACCUGGGCCUUCCGCAUGGCAAACAAGAAACCUACCACUGAUCCACCAAUGCCAUCUAGAUCCUAAUGUAAUGUGAGAUAAUUAACUGCUGACUGGCACUUAACUAAAGCAUAAUGUGGGCAGGUGUAAAUGCGCAUUUGAAUGUUGACAGGAAGUCCCUACAUGAUCACAAAAAUGGAAAUAAAUACGAGGUGGUAUCAAAAAGUUUUGAGUUUUGUAACACAUC